This 627-nucleotide ribosomal RNA is filed under the name Tremella cinnabarina. Its description in RNAcentral is "eukaryotic LSU rRNA". It matches the Rfam family "Eukaryotic large subunit ribosomal RNA", at positions 47 to 663 of the family's 3401-position model. Lineage: Eukaryota; Fungi; Basidiomycota; Tremellomycetes; Tremellales; Tremellaceae. The record is from RNAcentral.
UAAGCGGAGGAAAAGAAACUAACAAGGAUUCCCCUAGUAACGGCGAGCGAACCGGGAAGAGCUCAAAUUUGUAAUCUGGCGCCCCUCGGGCUCAGAGUUGUAAUCUACAGAGGCGUUUUCCGUGCCGGCCCGUGCCCAACUUUGCUUGGAACAGUGAGAUCAAAGAGGGUGAAAAUCCCGUACUUGACACGACCGCCGGUGCUAUGUGAUACGUCUUCUAAGAGUCGAGUUGUUUGGGAAUGCAGCUCAAAACGGGUGGUAAAUUCCAUCUAAGGCUAAAUAUUGGCGAGAGACCGAUAGCGAACAAGUACCGUGAGGGAAAGAUGAAAAGCACUUUGGAAAGAGAGUUAAACAGCACGUGAAAUUGUUGAAAGGGAAACGAUUGAAGUCAGUCGUGUCCGAGGGGUUCAGCCGGUCCUGCCGGUGCAUUCCUCUCGGACGGGUCAACAUCGGUUUUGUCCGGCGGACAAGGGCAUGGGGAAAGUGGCACCUUCGGGUGUGUUAUAGCCCCGUGUCGCAUACGUCGGACGAGACCGAGGAACGCAGCUCGCCUCACGGCCGGCGUUCGCCCACGUACGAGCUUAGGAUGUUGACAUAAUGGCUUUAAACGACCCGUCUUGAAACACG